UACGAAGGGGGCUAGCGUGGCUCGGAAUCACUGGGCGUAAAGGGUGCGUAGGCGGGGCUUUAAGUCAGGGGGGAAAUCCUGGAGCUCAACUCCAGAACUGCCUUUGAUACUGAGGAUCUUGAGUUCGGGAGAGGUGAGUGGAACUGCGAGUGUAGAGGUGAAAUUCGUAGAUAUUCGCAAGAACACCAGUGGCGAAGGCGGCUCACUGGCCCGAUACUGACGCUGAGGCACGAAAGCGUGGGGAGCAAACAGG
This 253-nucleotide ribosomal RNA is filed under the name uncultured bacterium. Its description in RNAcentral is "partial 16S ribosomal RNA". It matches the Rfam family "Bacterial small subunit ribosomal RNA", at positions 524 to 776 of the family's 1533-position model. The record is from RNAcentral.